RNAcentral lists this ribosomal RNA (481 nucleotides) under uncultured bacterium. Its description in RNAcentral is "bacterial SSU rRNA". It matches the Rfam family "Bacterial small subunit ribosomal RNA", at positions 26 to 507 of the family's 1533-position model. The record is from RNAcentral.
CGAGGACGAACGCUGGCGGCACGCUUAACACAUGCAAGUCGAACGAAGAUGUUUCACCGUAGCUUGCUACACCGAGACAUUUUAGUGGCGGACGGGUGAGUAACACGUGAGCAAUCUGCCUUUCAGAGGGGGAUACCAGUUGGAAACGACUGUUAAUACCGCAUAACAUAUCGAGAUCGCAUGAUAUUGAUAUCAAAGAUUUAUCGCUGAAAGAUGAGCUCGCGUCUGAUUAGAUAGUUGGUGAGGUAACGGCUCACCAAGGCAACGAUCAGUAGCCGGUCUGAGAGGAUGAACGGCCACAUUGGGACUGAGAUACGGCCCAGACUCCUACGGGAGGCAGCAGUGGGGAAUAUUGGGCAAUGGGGGAAACCCUGACCCAGCAACGCCGCGUGAAGGAAGAAGGCCUUCGGGUUGUAAACUUCUUUUACCAGGGACGAAGAACGUGACGGUACCUGGAGAAAAAGCCACGGCUAACUACGUG